RNAcentral lists this long non-coding RNA (1798 nucleotides) under Gossypium raimondii (Peruvian cotton). Its description in RNAcentral is "long non-coding RNA (GRAI_LNC005967)". Lineage: Eukaryota; Viridiplantae; Streptophyta; Magnoliopsida; Malvales; Malvaceae. The record is from RNAcentral.
CAAAACAGUCAUAGCUAGAUAUUGUUUAAUUAAAUCAAUUAUACAUAGUACUUUAACUUACCAACCAUAUUUGCAAACAUACGUAUAGUUUCACUAAUCCAUUUCAUAUAUAUAUACCAAAAUAUUUCAAGUACCUCAAAUUAGAUAGAAAUUCAAGAGUUUACAUUUUAGUUCCUAAUAUGUGGAAAUAUAACUGACUGCCUAUGUACAUGCCAUUUUAAUUCAAAAUAUGGUACCUACUUUUGAAACUCUUGAGGAUGUGAUGAGAUGAGAGAUCUUCUAUCCUGACUUUAUCUCUUCAAGUCAAACUGUACCUACGCGUUAAAAUUAAACGCGUUAAGCCGGUGAAGACUUAGUAAGCACUACAAGAAUAAACAAAUAAAUAAAUGUAAAUAAAAUAUUUCGAACUCAUUCUGUUGUUGCGUAUUUACGUACGUAUAAGCUUCAUAAAACUUACCUUAGCAUAUUAAUGAUUCGCUUUUAUCCACAAAUCAUAAUCUUAGCCCAAAAUAGAUUUUCAUAGAACACACCGGAUAUACGGAACAAAUACAGAGGUGCAUUAUUAUGCACUAAUGAACAGAGAGCACUAAAGUGCUAUACAGAGAGCACAGAUGUGCUAAACAGAGAGCACUGACGUGCUAAAUAUCAGAGAGCACCAACGUGCUAAUAGUCAGAGAGCACUAACGUGCUAAUAAUCAGAGAGCACUAACGUGCUAAUAAUCAGAGAGCGCGCUAAAGUUCCUUAAUGGCAUGCCACUAAUAUCCUGGUAGUUCUAAAUUCCAUCUACUUGGGCACUAAAACUGAAUCUCAUUCAUUUAAAUACUUUAUAGAAUUAUUUUGAAAAAGAUUUCUCAUUUCUCCAUCAUUACAAUUCAAUGCUUAUUUCACAAUUCACAAUUAUCACACCAUUUUCACACACACACACACAUAUAUAUACACUUUUGUCACAACAUUACUUAUUGUUCAAACAUUAUACCAUCUUAUAUUUUCCAUAUAUAAUUUUUCUUUACAAAUUUCAUAGUUCCAUAAUCUUUUAUUUUACUUUAUUUUAUUUUAUUUCUAAAUAGUUCUAUACUAUAAUAUAGGCAUUUAAAAUAAAUAAUUUCUAAAAAAAAUAAUCUUGUAGUACUUACAACAAAAAGGUUGAGAUGAUGUCUUCCUUCACUCCUUAGCCUUCUCUUUUCCUUUUUCUUCAAUAAGGUCCUUUCCUUUCCUUUCUUUCUCUUCAAUUUCAUAUAAAACACAUAAUAUUUAUAUAUUAGAAAAACAAUCAAAUAACUUUCCUAUAUCAUUUAAUAAAAAUAAACAUAUAUGAUAUAAUAAUUUCAUAAUUUCUUACCUUAGCUAAUAUUUCAAUUUAAUUCAUAACUAAAAUUAUUUCUAUUUCUAUCACAACCUAUACCUUAUUUCUACUUAAAUUCAACUUACACCUUAACUUAACUCUCAAAUUUUCACUAAUAAACCUUAAUUUCGAAUUUCUUACAAUUUUACAUUAAACUUAUAACUUAUUUCUCAAUUUCAUCCUUUUCCCAAUCCUAGUUUGAAUUUCCAUCAAUUCAACCUCUAAUUCAUCCACUAAUUCAAUAUAAACUACAUAAAAAAAUUCUACUAACUUUCAAAAUUUCAACAUAUACCUACUAGUAUUUUGAUCUAGAAUCAUAAAAACUCAAAAAUUUCAAGAAAAUGACUUAAUUUGACUUACCGAUUUGAAAUUGAACCUUAAAACCCUAAAUUCCUUCUUUACUUUUUCUUUCUUUCUUUCUCCCCUGUUUCUCCCCUGUUUCGUUUCAAAUGCUA